ACAUUCCAAUCUCAGACUCAAUCCAUAGCUUGAUUCAAAUAACCCAAUUAUAGACAUUUAACAGUGUGAAACCAAACCAGGAUAUCAACACAGGCAAAUCAGGAGAAGGUAACAUGUUGACUUCCAAAAAGUCUUUACCAAAUUGAGCAGCCAAAAUUAUAGUAGCAGUGACACAAACAAAUUACUAGUAAGCAACAAAAACCAUGAGCAUUAUAACCAAUCUGCUACUCAAGAGGUUACAUCCAUACUCACAACAUUCUAAUCGAAUUGAGAGAACAAAUCACAUAAGACUUGGACCCAUAAACCAGUCUUGCACAGAACAGAACCAGGUAAAAGAAAUCCACAAGAAAUUGUGACUUUACUUCAUUUACAACAAAGUCUACACUUAUUCAUUGAUUCUAAGAAUUCAUUCAAUUUCCCAAUUGAGGCAAGUAACAACUAAUCAUCACAAACACACAAGUAUGCUUCCAAAGGUAUUGAAGUCAUAACUACAAUCAAUCAAUCUUGAACAAUGUUGCAUAACCAAAACUUGAACCAUGUUGCAGAACUGACCCCUAUAUUGUGAUAGCCUCCCUCAAACUCAUAGUAAGGGAAUACUUAGUAUGAGUUUGGAAAACAGAAAACAAAGACCAAUUUGACAUAGGAAAGUUCCACCGGGAUCGAAGGGAAAGAGUGAAAUUGAAUCGAAAAUUGACAUAAUAGAGAGCAUAGUAGCAGAACUGGAAAUCACUAACAUAAUUCCACCGGGAUCAAAAUCAACGAUGCACUCAUCAUGUAGUUCGAAAAGCCAAACCUGGUUGUUGAUUGCGGUGCUACUGAUUUGUUGUUUCUGUUUUCUGACGUAGAACCAAGAAGCGAAAGGCCUUAUGGCGGCAACGCCGUAAACAGAUCCAUAGCAUAGCGGAACUCUACCUUUGAUAAGAUUCUCCGACUUCUUGAUUUCUGCAGAAACACCAAACUCAGAUUUGCAUUCG
Molecule: long non-coding RNA, 974 nt
Filed under: Trifolium pratense (red clover)
Lineage: Eukaryota; Viridiplantae; Streptophyta; Magnoliopsida; Fabales; Fabaceae
Description: long non-coding RNA (TPRA_LNC000938)
Source: RNAcentral